Long non-coding RNA from Anas platyrhynchos (mallard), 1593 nucleotides. RefSeq lists it as uncharacterized. The record is from RefSeq and is a predicted model, not a curated record. NCBI's taxonomy places the organism in Eukaryota, Metazoa, Chordata, Aves, Anseriformes, Anatidae.
UCCACAGCUGAUUCAGAGUUAAAGCCAGGUUUCUAGGAUUUGAAUUACACAUGUGCUUUUUCACCAGAAGAUACAAAACUGAACUGGAAAUAAUGUCCAAGCUCUUUUGGUUUCAGCUGUAACUUUAAACCACGAGGCUCCACAGAACGGCUAGCUGGGGAUGAAAAGGUUUGCUGACAUCCACCUCUGCGGAAAGGUCAGAGCACACCUGAUCAGCCCAGGAGACGAACACCUUGGCAGCCUCGUCAACCUGAUGAGGUGCAGCUCUAAAAGGCCCUGCCCAGGGAAGCAUCAGGUUUUCUGAUCAAAGCUUUGAAAUCUCCGUUUGUAGGUUUGGCUCGAAGGUAGAUGCAUCACUAAACAAUGCAAGGUAGCUGUGUUGUGUGGGAUGGUGAAGCAGCAAUCCCAUGGCUCUGGGUCAGCAAAGGGGGGAAAUGACUCGCUCUCUUGCGUGGGGCAGAGGAAUGGUGGCCUUCUGAAGGACCUAGAGGCUUGCUGAGGUAGCCAGUUAAACGGCGUUAUUCAAGGUGGACUCUUGCCCUGCUGAGGGAGAACUUGAAAUGCCCUAUGGUUGGCUGACCUGGGCUGUUGUGGUUGUGCAAAAUCACACUGCUCGUCUCUGCGAUGAGAGAAUGAGGAAAUUCUUACACCUACUCCUGCUCUCCACCACGUGCCAUCUCCUCUAGUUUAUGAGGAUGCCAGUCUUACCAAAGGUCAUUUUGAAACCCCAGCAGAGCUUCUCUGAGGUGAUUUUUUACAUCUUGGAAUUUUUGAAGUUUCUAAAAGAAACUCUUUGGCUGAGAUCCACAUGAAGUUUGCUAAUCCUUAUAAAAAAAAAAAAAAAGUCAUUGACAGUGAAGUUCUGUUUGCAACAAUCUCAGACUUCCUUUGGUUAUUCGUCUCUGCAAAUGCAGUCUCAAAUACGUUGAUCCACAGUGGUCCAGCCUGCUACUCCUGGUUGUAUUCUCAUGCCCAGCACUGUUGCCAUUAUCAGUGUGCAGACACCAAGAACUGGGCCUGUGGUUCUGCUCCCACCAAGCCUGCUUUUUCAAGAAGUAUGAAAGACCAAAAGCACACUGAACAAAGACCAUGUCCAUCUGCUAAUCAGCCUUUGCAUUUUUAGUUUUUCUGAAAACCAAAAAGUACAAGAUCUACCUUUCUGUGUAGAUAUAUUCUUGCAUCUAUGAGGAGUUUCGUGUAAGUCAGUCAUCUGAGCCUUGGUGAGCCAGUGGAAAGUCAGAAGUGGCAUCAGCCUGGAGUUCCCUGUCCAUUUACUGGUGCGGUCCUGGAGAGAAAACACGCAAAGGUCAUAAACCCAAUGAAGUAAAUUCAUCAUUUCACUGAUGGUUGGAUUUGCCCGACUCUGGUGUAUUAUUACUUGCCUUCCACAUGUUAAUUUUUUUCACCACUUCUUGACCGAUACCCUGUUGAAAAUGUUUGUUUUUCAUCCCUCACGACAGAUGAAAAUUUAAGGUGCAUUUUGGAAAAGUAGCCCUUAAUACACUUUUGUGUUUUCUUUAAUAAUUACAUAGUCUGGCACUCACUGGCCCAUGGUUUCCCCUCUAAGUUGGGGCAUAUUUAGCUCAUUAUUAG